RNAcentral lists this ribosomal RNA (506 nucleotides) under uncultured bacterium. Its description in RNAcentral is "SSU rRNA". It matches the Rfam family "Bacterial small subunit ribosomal RNA", at positions 26 to 518 of the family's 1533-position model. The record is from RNAcentral.
AGGACGAACGCUGGCGGCGUGCUUAACACAUGCAAGUGGAGCGACGAACCGGGGCUUGCCCCGGGGCAGAGCCGCGAACGGGUGAGUAACACGUGGGUAACCCACCCCGAUGACCGGGACAACCCGAGGAAACUCGGGCUAAUACCGGAUGUGCUCCUUGACCUUGAGGUCAAGGCGUAAAGAUAGCUUCGGCCUUCGCAUCGGGACGGGCCCGCGGCCCAUUAGCUUGUUGGUGGGGUAAAGGCCUACCAAGGCAACGAUGGGUAGCUGGUCUGAGAGGACGAUCAGCCACGCUGGGACUGAGACACGGCCCAGACUCCUACGGGAGGCAGCAGUGGGGAAUCUUGCGCAAUGCGCGAAAGCGUGACGCAGCAACGCCGCGUGGGGGAAGAAGGGCCUUCGGGUUGUAAACCCCUUUCAGUUGGGACGAAGCUUCGCCGGUGAAUAGCCGGCUGGAGUGACGGUACCUUCACAAGAAGCCCGGCUAACUACGUGCCAGCAGCCGC